RNAcentral lists this ribosomal RNA (253 nucleotides) under uncultured bacterium. RNAcentral's name for it is "partial 16S ribosomal RNA". It matches the Rfam family "Bacterial small subunit ribosomal RNA", at positions 524 to 776 of the family's 1533-position model. The record is from RNAcentral.
UACGUAGGUGGCAAGCGUUGUCCGGAAUCAUUGGGCGUAAAGCGCGCGUAGGUGGCUUGUCAGGUCUGAUGUGAAAACCUGGGGCUCAACCCCAGGCCUGCAUCGGAAACCGGCUUGCUAGAGUCUGGGAGAGGAGAGUGGAAUUCCUGGUGUAGCGGUGAAAUGCGUAGAUAUCAGGAGGAACACCAGUAGCGAAGGCGGCUCUCUGGAACAGUACUGACACUGAGGCGCGAAAGCUAGGGGAGCGAACAGG